UCGAAACAGUAAAACUCGUCCGCAUUUAGGGUUUUGCAAAUUUCCGACUUCCAAGACGCCAGUCCGAUGGAAAGGUGGUACUUGCCGACGGACCGGUGCGUUUUCCGCCACCCAGCAGAUCUCCGACCGGCGAGAAGCAGCCACAGCGCUAGAAAUGGGUCUUUCAAAUCCUUACAGUAGUUAACGGGCGAUUGAACUUCGUGCAUUGACCAGGCUACUUUGGCAUGGACAGCAGGUCAUGUGUUGGCAACUAGCGGCCUGGAUGGUUCAUGGACUUCUUUCACGAUCAAUAUGGAAAAUUUUUUAUUAGGAGGUAUUGUUCUUUUGCCCAAACAGUUGAACAAUCACUAGGAUUGACGGUUUUUCUUAUAUAUAUUAUGCAUGAUCUUUUUUGUGUUUAAUA
Molecule: long non-coding RNA, 403 nt
Organism: Nymphaea colorata (pocket water lily)
Lineage: Eukaryota; Viridiplantae; Streptophyta; Magnoliopsida; Nymphaeales; Nymphaeaceae
Exons: 2
Source: RefSeq, a predicted model, not a curated record